ACCCUUAAGUGAAUGGAUUCAAGAUUUGUUUAAUUUUGAUAAACGGAUUUGCAUCCUUAAAAGACAAUUUCAAUAUUACAAUUAUUUAAAAUUUUCAUCACUUUCCUAGAAUUUGUAAAGAGAAAAACAACUCUAAUGACUCAUUAAUUAAGAUUGGGAGUAUGCUACUUCCAAGUUUCCAAGAUCUAAGAUUGGAAUACCAUAACAUCGUAAAUCAAACCUAUACCAAAUUUCUUUUGAUACAAAAAUAUGGAAUUGAAUGUAAACUUGAAUCCCAGUCUUUAAGCAAAAUAAAACAUUAAUUUACAGAGAAAAUAACUCAUACCUACCAAAAUCAAACAGAUAAAUGUUACUAGAAUAUUUGUUUUUAAUAUCCUCUUAUUAUUGGAUAAUAAAAUUCUAAAUUGGACCAUCCCAUGUUCCAGCUCAAUGACAGCUGAUCAAACAUGUCCAGCCAGUAAUCAAACUGAUCAAACAUUAAGCAUCUAUGAAAUGAGCAGAUGUAACAAUAGAUUCUGUAGGACAAUUGCAUACCUUGGAUUUUCUAAGCAUCUGUAAAAUCAAAAUGGAUUCAAUGUUUUUCCAUAGUUUCACAGUUAAUAAUACAUCAUGCCAUCCAUCAAAUUUCAGUUUAUCACUUCAUCCCCUUUUCCCCCUUACCCCGUGAACCACCGACACGUCAACACCGGAUACGACACACCGACACGUCAACACCUGAUACGAGACACAACACACAGACACGUCAACAACUGAUACCGGACAUGACAUUGACACAUCAACACAUGAUACCGAAUACGACAUUGAUACUGACACGUUAACACCCAUAGAAUUUUUAAAAAAUAAUAAAUUGAACUUAAUUACGAGAGUCAGUGUCCAACACUGAUUCUGACAUGUCUUUUUUCAGAAGUGUCAUGUUACAUUAUCAAUAUUCAUCUAAAGAAUCAUCCCCAUAGCCCACCAACCCAAUGCUCAAUGGUGAAAUCACUACACAAAAUGCUUAAAUCAGUAAAUCAACCACCUCAUCAAAUUUGAAGUAGUAACAAGUUAAAAACUGAGAAACAAAGGAUUGUGUUUGUAGUUGAAUUGAUCAGAAAACCUCCUAACAAAAAACCUCAAACAAUUUACCCCAAUAAUCCCUCAAUUUAAAGAAACCCUAAAUAACAAACACAUCCAACACUAACCUUAAACAAACUAAUCACAGAAACCCAAUACAAUAAAACAAGCCUAGAAUGAAGGGUAAUUGUAAAUUAGAAAACUUGAAGCAUACCCAUCUUAGAAAAAAGUAAAAUAGAGUCAACCAACUUGGAAGGGACCAAUAUCACCAGAACGGAGAGAAGAAGCAAAUUCAUCAGCAACAGUUAAGCAAGAAGUGAUCCAACCAGCGAGAGCUAACCAAGUCAUCUUAGCGAUGUAGAUAGCAGCGUUGAGAGCCAUUGCCAUGGAAAUCGAAUGGUUUCUUCAAAGAAGAAGAAAUUGUAGGGUAGUAGUCAUGAUUCAUGAACAUGUCCUUCUAGAAGAAAAGUAGUUGUGUGGGUUAUGGUCAAUUUAUUUCGCAUUUCUCUCUCUUAAAUCAAUAAUACCCUUAUUCGGAAAAAAUACACUAUUUACGGA
This 1611-nucleotide long non-coding RNA is filed under the name Lathyrus oleraceus (garden pea). Its description in RNAcentral is "Pisum sativum (pea) long non-coding RNA (PSAT_LNC034906)". Lineage: Eukaryota; Viridiplantae; Streptophyta; Magnoliopsida; Fabales; Fabaceae. The record is from RNAcentral.